UGAGCCCUGCGCACGCGGGAAGGGCUGCCGGAGGCGCCCGUAGGGAGGCGCGCGCGCGGGCGGCUCAGGGCCCGCGUUCCUCUCCCUCCCGCCUACCGCCACUUUCCCGCCCUGUGUGCGCCCCCACCCCCACCACCAUCUUCCCACCCUCAGCGCGGGCGCCCCGCGGUGACGGCCCAGGGGCCGGACGCCUGGAACGCAACUCCAGGCAGCUCGCCCCCUAGCUACAUCCGUCACCUGACACGGCCCUACCAGGAACAGCCGCGCUCCCGCGGAUUCUGGUGCUGCUCGCGUCCCCGCUCCCCUAUUCCCCUUAUUUUAUUCCUGGCUCCCCUCGUCGAAAGUCUUCCAUUCUUCAAACUAGAUUAUUUAAAAAUGAAAAAGGAAGAAAGGAAAGCGAGGUCAUCUCAUUGCUCUAUCCGCCAAUCAGGAGGCUGAAUGUCAGUUUUGAACUAAAAGCCGCUCCGCUCCUCUUCUAGAUUUGGAAAACAAGCGAAAUUAAACUAAACCGCUGCACGCCUCUGACGCGACAUCUGGACACGGCGCGGCGCUGGCGCUGCCGGAGCUGUCGACCCGGCCUGGCGCCGGACUAGUGUCCCUUUUGAUGAGAAGAAUAAGCCUCAUUCUGAUUCAACAGCAGAGAUCAAAGAAAAGACUUCUGUUUUCUGGCCACCAGAUAUAUGUUAUCUGUGCUUAAAGAAUUGAAAAACACACAUCAAAGGAGAAUUUUCUUGGAAAGAGAGGGUUCAAGCAUCACUGUUAGGUGUGCUGGAAUCCUUUCCCGAGUCAGUACUGCUUUCUAGAAGAAAACCGGGGAGAUCUAUUUGGAAUGUAUCUAACUCCAAAGAAACCAUCAGAGGUAACAGUAGAGACGGGGUUUCACCAUGUUGGCCAGACUGGUCUUGAACUCUCGACCUCGUGAUUCGCCCGCCUCGGCCUCCCAAAGUGCUGGGAUUACAGGUGUGAGACACCACACCCGGCGGAUAGAGAGAAUUUUGACAGGCUUUGGUAUCAGGAUGAUUCUGGCCUCAUAAAAUGAGUUGGGGAGAAUUCCCUCUUUUUCUAUUGAAUGGAAUAGUUUCAGAAGGAAUGGUACCAGCUCCUCUUUGUACCUCUGGUAGAAUUCGGCUGUGAAUCCAUCUGGUCCUGGACUUUUUUUGGUUGGUACCAGAGAUAUAAUAAUGAGAAACAGACAUGCUCCCUCCCCUCAUUGAGGUUACAGCUUAGUGUGGAGACACACAGAUGCCUAACGCACUAUGGUAUGGAAGGUGCUAUGGACACAGUGCUCAAAUCCAUGAUCUACAUAGGUGGAGAACUUCAGUAGAGGAAGUGGCAGGAAUUUGGGAAUGAGGAGCACAGUGAUUAAACUGGGGCCAUUCAUAUGAGAGUUUAAGAACUCAGACCAGUGACUUAGAUUGGCUUCUCUCACAUGGCAAGAAACAUUGCUGCUAGCACUUCCCGAGUUCUACGUUCUACAACAUCCACCACUGCUAUGUCUCACAGUCCAGACUUGGAGUACAAGUAAUAAGAAGAAUAAAACUUAAUCCCUUAAGUAGAUUCACCAUAAGUUAGCUCAGAGCAAUUCCAGUGCAAGUAUGGUCUGUGAUCCAGUAGUAUCUUACAGACAGCAAGUUGAACAUUGUGGGAUGCAUGAGCUAUUGAGGCCUUUGCAGCUUUCUGCUACAUGGAGGCUAGGGCCAGAGUCAAGAUUUAUGCUUUGCAGCACACUGGUCAGCUGUUUUUGCAAAUCAGAUUAAAUGAUUUUUAAAUGAGGCUGAGAGCAUGGGAGAUACUAAUGUGUGUUUCCUUGUGAGCUACUGCAUAAGUUAGGAAAUUGAAAUACAGAAAGAUGAAAAGUGAUUUGCCCAAGCAUAUAGAUCAAAGCUGUGGCAGAACCAGGACUGGAACCUAUAUCUCUCUACUAAUGGUUUUUUUAAAAAAAUAACCUUGUUUCAAAAAUAUUAAAAAGUCACAAGAAAGGUAAACAUGUGGAUAAACAAAAUGAAGAAAAUAAAAAUUAUCCAGUAAUAACAUAUUGGCAUAUGUCUUUCUGGUAUAUUUUCCUGUGUUGUCAUCAUUAUCAUCUCCAUCAUCAUUAUAUCCAUCAUUAUCAUCAU
RNAcentral lists this long non-coding RNA (2117 nucleotides) under Homo sapiens (human). RNAcentral describes it as "HSALNT0147409". The stretch from base 601 to 744 matches the Rfam family "CDKN2B antisense RNA 1 convserved region 3". The record is from RNAcentral. Lineage: Eukaryota; Metazoa; Chordata; Mammalia; Primates; Hominidae.